GAUGGGCCCGCGCCCGAUUAGCUAGUUGGUGAGGUAAUGGCUCACCAAGGCUUCGAUCGGUAACCGGCCUGAGAGGGCGAUCGGUCACACCGGAACUGAGACACGGUCCGGACUCCUACGGGAGGCAGCAGUGGGGAAUCUUGCGCAAUGGGCGAAAGCCUGACGCAGCAACGCCGCGUGGAGGAUGAAGGCCCUUGGGUUGUAAACUCCUGUCGGCUGGGAAGAAAUCUUUUGCGGCGAAUACCCGCAGACGUUGACUGUACCAGCAAAGGAAGCCCCGGCUAACUCUGUGCCAGCAGCCGCGGUAAUACAGAGGGGGCCAGCGUUAUUCGGAAUUAUUGGGCGUAAAGGGCGCGUAGGCGGCCAUGCGUGUCUUCCGUGAAAUCCCUCGGCUCAACCGAGGACGUGCGGAAGAAACUGCAAGGCUCGAGUCCGGAAGAGGGGGGCGGAAUUCCCAGUGUAGCGGUGAAAUGCGUAGAUAUUGGGAGG
RNAcentral lists this ribosomal RNA (489 nucleotides) under uncultured Acidobacteriota bacterium. RNAcentral's name for it is "bacterial SSU rRNA". It matches the Rfam family "Bacterial small subunit ribosomal RNA", at positions 224 to 704 of the family's 1533-position model. The record is from RNAcentral. Lineage: Bacteria; Pseudomonadati; Acidobacteriota.